RNAcentral lists this ribosomal RNA (431 nucleotides) under uncultured bacterium. Its description in RNAcentral is "partial 16S ribosomal RNA". It matches the Rfam family "Bacterial small subunit ribosomal RNA", at positions 29 to 507 of the family's 1533-position model. The record is from RNAcentral.
AACGAACGCUGGCGGCAGGCUUAACACAUGCAAGUCGAGCGCCCCGCAAGGGGAGCGGCAGACGGGUGAGUAACGCGUGGGAACGUACCUUUUGGUUCGGAACAACUCCGGCAAACUGGAGCUAAUACCGGAUAAGCCCUAACGGGGAAAGAUUUAUCGCCGAAAGAUCGGCCCGCGUCUGAUUAGCUAGUUGGUGAGGUAACGGCUCACCAAGGCGACGAUCAGUAGCUGGUCUGAGAGGAUGAUCAGCCACACUGGGACUGAGACACGGCCCAGACUCCUACGGGAGGCAGCAGUGGGGAAUAUUGGACAAUGGGCGCAAGCCUGAUCCAGCCAUGCCGCGUGAGUGAUGAAGGCCUUAGGGUUGUAAAGCUCUUUUGUCCGGGAAGAUAAUGACUGUACCGGAAGAAUAAGCCCCGGCUAACUUCGUG